This 225-nucleotide long non-coding RNA is filed under the name Nicotiana benthamiana. Its description in RNAcentral is "long non-coding RNA (NBEN_LNC005501)". Lineage: Eukaryota; Viridiplantae; Streptophyta; Magnoliopsida; Solanales; Solanaceae. The record is from RNAcentral.
CUAGCUAGAAUACGUAAAAAGAUGUACAGAGUAAACAAGAGAGCGGGAGGUACCAACUCCGGGUGGAAAAACCUGAAAGUAGGCUUUGAUGCGCCCGAGCUCAACUGCUACCGACUCUUGCACAUCCCGGCCGGUGUUGCUUAGCUCCUCACUCCCAAACGCCGCAAACUGGCCUCGCCGCCGCGACUAGUACCUGGGGCAAGUUUUCCUGAAGCUAAUCGGAAU